Molecule: non-coding RNA, 107 nt
Organism: Bacteroidetes oral taxon 274 str. F0058
Lineage: Bacteria; Pseudomonadati; Bacteroidota
Rfam family: Bacteroidales small SRP
About the family: The non-coding component of the signal recognition particle in Bacteroides
Source: Rfam
UGCACCCGGGUAAGUCCUAUACGACCAGCUCCCUUUGAAUCCCCCAGGGUUUGACCGCAGCAAGGGUAGAAGGUUGUAGCGGUGCGAUGUAGUAAGCUUGCCCUUUU